Panicum virgatum (switchgrass) is the source of this 561-nucleotide long non-coding RNA. RefSeq lists it as uncharacterized. The record is from RefSeq and is a predicted model, not a curated record. Lineage: Eukaryota; Viridiplantae; Streptophyta; Magnoliopsida; Poales; Poaceae. The transcript is spliced from 2 exons.
ACCCCUGCUGACUCCCCCACACCUGCCUCCACUCCCCACGCGCCAGCCACCCUCGAUCCGAACCCUAGCCGCCAGCUCCCCAUCGCCCCCAACCCAACCUUGCUCCGCGCGGCCGGGCUCCGGCGGUCGGCGGCCCUAACCCUGCCCCGCCUCCUUCCCCAACCCAAUCCUGCUCCUGCCGCCAGCACCCCUGCUCCUGAGGCUGGCGCCCCUGCUCCUGCGGCCGGCGGACCUUCUCGGCAGUUGGUGCCCCUGCUCCUACGGCCGGUGGACGCGGACCUGCUUCUUGGAGGACAAUGUUGUGGACAACAGCAAUGAAGAGAUGGAGGGGGCCAUAGAGAAGGGUCGAGGGUGGAGGCCGGUUCUUACGCACCUAAUUUGUUGCUACUCCUGUUACUUUACUUGAUGUGGCCUGCUUCCUUUUCAUUUUUUGCCAAACUGCUAGCAAGGCGUUCCUGUAUUUUCUGUAAUGCAUUAUUAAUGUUGCAACCUAUAAUGCCCCUAUGAUGUGAACUAUAUUGUGGUAUUAGUGUAUUUACUUCUCUUUGGAUUAUGAUACUA